UUGAACGCUGGCGGCAGGCCUAACCCGUGCAAGUCGAGCGGUAGAGAGAAGCUUGCUUCUCUUGAGAGCGGCGGACGGGUGAGUAAUGCCUAGGAAUCUGCCUGGUAGUGGGGGAUAACGUUCGGAAACGGACGCUAAUACCGCAUACGUCCUACGGGAGAAAGCAGGGGACCUUCGGGCCUUGCGCUAUCAGAUGAGCCUAGGUCGGAUUAGCUAGUUGGUGGGGUAAUGGCUCACCAAGGCGACGAUCCGUAACUGGUCUGAGAGGAUGAUCAGUCACACUGGAACUGAGACACGGUCCAGACUCCUACGGGAGGCAGCAGUGGGGAAUAUUGGACAAUGGGCGAAAGCCUGAUCCAGCCAUGCCGCGUGUGUGAAGAAGGUCUUCGGAUUGUAAAGCACUUUAAGUUGGGAGGAAGGGCAGUAAAUUAAUACUUUGCUGUUUUGACGUUACCGACAGAAUAAGCACCGGCUAACUCUGUG
RNAcentral lists this ribosomal RNA (483 nucleotides) under uncultured bacterium. RNAcentral's name for it is "partial 16S ribosomal RNA". It matches the Rfam family "Bacterial small subunit ribosomal RNA", at positions 30 to 507 of the family's 1533-position model. The record is from RNAcentral.